Molecule: ribosomal RNA, 667 nt
Filed under: uncultured Arcobacter sp.
Lineage: Bacteria; Pseudomonadati; Campylobacterota; Epsilonproteobacteria; Campylobacterales; Arcobacteraceae
Description: bacterial SSU rRNA
Rfam family: Bacterial small subunit ribosomal RNA
Source: RNAcentral
AGUUGUAUCCUGGCUCAGAGUGAACGCUGGCGGCGUGCUUAACACAUGCAAGUCGAACGAGAACGGGUUAUAGUUUACUAUAACUGUCAGCUAAGUGGCGCACGGGUGAGUAAUAUAUAGGUAACGUGCCCUAGAGAGGGGGAUAACAUUUGGAAACGAAUGCUAACACCCCAUAUGCCUUUAUCCCAUAAGGGAGCAAGGGAAAUAUUUAUAGCUCUAGGAUCGGCCUGUACGGUAUCAGUUUGUUGGUGAGGUAAUGGCUCACCAAGACUAUGACGCCUAACUGGUUUGAGAGGAUGAUCAGUCACACUGGAACUGAGACACGGUCCAGACUCCUACGGGAGGCAGCAGUGGGGAAUAUUGCACAAUGGACGAAAGUCUGAUGCAGCAACGCCGCGUGGAGGAUGACACAUUUCGGUGCGUAAACUCCUUUUAUAUAGGAAGAUAAUGACGGUACUAUAUGAAUAAGCACCGGCUAACUCCGUGCCAGCAGCCGCGGUAAUACGGAGGGUGCAAGCGUUACUCGGAAUCACUGGGCGUAAAGAGCGUGUAGGCGGGUUUGUAAGUUUGAAGUGAAAUCCAAUGGCUCAACCAUUGAACUGCUUUGAAAACUGCUUACCUAGAAUAUGGGAGAGGUAGAUGGAAUUUCUGGUGUAGGGGUAAAAUC